UACGUAGGGUCCGAGCGUUGUCCGGAAUUAUUGGGCGUAAAGGGCUCGUAGGCGGUUUGUCGCGUCGGGAGUGAAAACUCAGGGCUCAACCCUGAGCGUGCUUCCGAUACGGGCAGACUAGAGGUAUGCAGGGGAGAACGGAAUUCCCGGUGUAGCGGUGAAAUGCGCAGAUAUCGGGAGGAACACCGGUGGCGAAGGCGGGUCUCUGGGCCGACACUGACGCUGAGGAGCGAAAGCGUGGGGAGCGAACAGG
This 253-nucleotide ribosomal RNA is filed under the name uncultured bacterium. RNAcentral describes it as "partial 16S ribosomal RNA". It matches the Rfam family "Bacterial small subunit ribosomal RNA", at positions 524 to 776 of the family's 1533-position model. The record is from RNAcentral.